Molecule: ribosomal RNA, 224 nt
Filed under: uncultured bacterium
Lineage: Bacteria
Description: partial 16S ribosomal RNA
Rfam family: Bacterial small subunit ribosomal RNA
Source: RNAcentral
CGUAAAGAACCUGCCUCAUAGGCUGGGACAACUAUUGGAAACGAUAGCUAAUACCGGAUAACAGCAUUAACUGCAUGGUUGAUGUUUGAAAGUUGGUUUUGCUAACACUAUGAGAUGGCUUUGCGGUGCAUUAGCUAGUUGGUGGGGUAAAGGCCUACCAAGGCGACGAUGCAUAGCCGACCUGAGAGGGUGAUCGGCCACACUGGGACUGAGACACGGCCCAG